GAUCCUGGCUCAGGAUGGACGCUAGCGGCAGGCCUAAUACAUGCAAGUCGAACGGGAUGGGGUCCUCGGGACCCUGAGAGUGGCGCACGGGUGCGCAACGCGUAUGCAACCAACCCCCGACAGGCGGAUAGCCGGUGGAAACGCCGGAUAAUACGCCAUGGUUCCGAGGGAGGGCAUCCUCCUUUGGAUAAAGCUACGGCGGUCGGGGACGGGCAUGCGUCCCAUUAGAUGGUAGGCGGGGUGACGGCCCACCUAGUCCACGAUGGGUAGGGGAUCUGAGAGGACGGUCCCCCACACUGGUACUGAGACACGGACCAGACUCCUGCGGGAGGCAGCAGUAAGGGAUAUUGGUCAAUGGCCGGAAGGCUGAACCAGCCAUGCCGCGUGAGGGGAAAUGAGGCCCUACGGGUCGUGAACCUCUUUUAUUCGGGGACAAGGACGCGCACGAGAUGCGUGUUUGAGGGUACCGAAGGAAUAAGCAUCGGCUAACUCCGUGCCAGCAGCUGC
This 507-nucleotide ribosomal RNA is filed under the name uncultured bacterium. Its description in RNAcentral is "bacterial SSU rRNA". It matches the Rfam family "Bacterial small subunit ribosomal RNA", at positions 15 to 518 of the family's 1533-position model. The record is from RNAcentral.